GAUGAACGCUGGCGGCGUGCCUAAUACAUGCAAGUCGAGCGAACAGACUAGGAGCUUGCUCCUCUGACGUUAGCGGCGGACGGGUGAGUAACACGUGGAUAACCUACCUAUAAGACUGGGAUAACUUCGGGAAACCGGAGCUAAUACCGGAUAAUAUAUUGAACCGCAUGGUUCAAUAUUGAAAGACGGUUUUGCUGUCCCUUAUAGUUGGAUCCGCGCCGCAUUAGCUAGUUGGUAAGGUAACGGCUUACCAAGGCAACGAUGCGUAGCCGACCUGAGAGGGUGAUCGGCCACACUGGAACUGAGAAACGGUCCAGACUCCUACGGGAGGCAGCAGUAGGGAAUCUUCCGCAAUGGGCGAAAGCCUGACGGAGAAACGCCGCGUGAGUGAUGAAGGUCUUCGGAUCGUAAAACUCUGUUAUUAGGGAAGAACAAAUGUGUAAGUAACUAUGCACGUCUUGACGGUACCUAAUCAGAAAGCCACGGCUAACUACGUG
Molecule: ribosomal RNA, 497 nt
Filed under: uncultured bacterium
Lineage: Bacteria
Description: partial 16S ribosomal RNA
Rfam family: Bacterial small subunit ribosomal RNA
Source: RNAcentral